This 243-nucleotide ribosomal RNA is filed under the name uncultured bacterium. Its description in RNAcentral is "partial 16S ribosomal RNA". It matches the Rfam family "Bacterial small subunit ribosomal RNA", at positions 118 to 346 of the family's 1533-position model. The record is from RNAcentral.
UAGAUAAUCUGCCUGAUGGUCCGGGAUAACACUUCGAAAGGGGUGCUAAUACCGGAUAAGCCCACGGGGUCUUUGGACUCUGCGGGAAAAGGGGGGGACCUUUAUCGGCCUUUUGUCAUCAGAUGAGUCUGCGUACCAUCAGCUAGUUGGUAGGGUAAUGGCCUACCAAGGCUACGAUGGUUAGCUGGUUUGAGAGAAUGAUCAGCCACACUGGAACUGAGACACGGUCCAGAUCCUACGGGG